AGUAAUGCGUGACCAACAUGCCCCAUGCUCCAGAAUAGCUCUUGGAAACGGGUGGUAAUGCUGGAUGCUCCAACUUGACGCAUGUCUUGUUGGGAAAGUGUUUAGUGGCAUGGGAUGGGGUCGCGUCCUAUCAGCUUGUAGGCGGGGUAAUGGCCCACCUAGGCUUCGACGGGUAGCCGGCCUGAGAGGGCGGACGGCCACAUUGGGACUGAGAUACGGCCCAGACUCCUACGGGAGGCAGCAGUG
RNAcentral lists this ribosomal RNA (246 nucleotides) under uncultured Gardnerella sp. Its description in RNAcentral is "partial 16S ribosomal RNA". It matches the Rfam family "Bacterial small subunit ribosomal RNA", at positions 109 to 356 of the family's 1533-position model. Lineage: Bacteria; Bacillati; Actinomycetota; Actinomycetes; Bifidobacteriales; Bifidobacteriaceae. The record is from RNAcentral.